GGGUCAGUAGGUUGGUCGUGCCACCGGUACGUACUGGUCUCACUGAUUCCUCCUUCCUGAAGAACCGUAAUGCCAUUAAUUUGGUGUUGCGGGGAAACAGGACUGUUACUUUGAAAAAACUAGAGUGUUUAAAGCAAGCUAACGCUUGAAUACAUUAGCAUGGAAUAAUGAAAUAGGACGAUCGAUCCUAUUUUGCUGGUUUCUAGGAUUGACGUA
This 216-nucleotide ribosomal RNA is filed under the name Glomeromycotina sp. RNAcentral's name for it is "partial small subunit ribosomal RNA". The stretch from base 44 to 216 matches the Rfam family "Eukaryotic small subunit ribosomal RNA", at positions 690 to 864 of the family's 1831-position model. Lineage: Eukaryota; Fungi; Glomeromycota. The record is from RNAcentral.